CCUACGGGUGGCAGCAGUGAGGAAUAUUGGUCAAUGGGCGAGAGCCUGAACCAGCCAAGCCGCGUGAGGGAGUACUGCCCUAUGGGUGGUAAACCCCUUUUGCCGGGGAGCAAAAGCCGGACGUGUCCGGCUGUGAGAGUACCAGAAGACAAAGAAUCGGCAAACUCCGUGCCAGCAGCGGCGGUAAUACGGAGGAUGCGAGCGGUAUCCGGAUUGUUGGGGGUAAAGGGGGGCGCGGGGGGAUGUUUAGGACAGCGGGCAAUGCGUGGGCCUCAACCCCAUCCAGCCGUUGAAACUGGGGAGCUAGAGGGUGCGAGAGGUAGGCAGAAUGCGUGGUGGAGCGGUGAAAUGCGUAGAUAUCAGGCGGAACCCCGGUGGCGAAGGCGGCAUACCGGAGAACAACUGACGCUCAGGCACGAAAGCGUGGGUAGCGAACAGGAUUAGAUACCCGGGUAGUC
This 458-nucleotide ribosomal RNA is filed under the name uncultured bacterium. RNAcentral describes it as "partial 16S ribosomal RNA". It matches the Rfam family "Bacterial small subunit ribosomal RNA", at positions 338 to 795 of the family's 1533-position model. The record is from RNAcentral.